CCCGACGUGGUGUAAUGGUAACAUACUGCGUUGUCAGCGCAAUGUCGAGGGUUCGAUUCCCUUCGUCGGGAC
Molecule: transfer RNA, 72 nt
Filed under: Streptomyces phage MulchMansion
Lineage: Duplodnaviria; Heunggongvirae; Uroviricota; Caudoviricetes; Stanwilliamsviridae
Also listed under: 1 other name
Description: tRNA-Asp
Rfam family: tRNA
About the family: Transfer RNA (tRNA) molecules are approximately 80 nucleotides in length. Their secondary structure includes four short double-helical elements and three loops (D, anti-codon, and T loops).
Source: RNAcentral